UUAGCAAUUACUUUCUCUAAAAACAAUUAGAACUCGAUUUUUCGCAACAAUUUUUAGAAACUUUUCAUCUAUGAUUAUGUGGAAGAUUACAGAGAAAGAAAUUCAUAAAUGAAAAGUAUUUUUCAAGAAAUCAACAUUGGCUAUAUGCUUCUAGUCCAAAACUUAAUAUGUGGAAAAUUAUGAUGUAAUUGCUAAGUAAUGAGCGCUCAUUAUGAUAAUAUUUAGGCAUAAUGACUUAUUUGGUCCUCUAACUUUACAAAAAUAGUCAUUUUAGAUAUCUAUUUAAUUUUUCGCCUCUUUUAAUCUUUAAAUUUAUCUUAUUUGCCAAAUCACCCUAAAUGGAGUGAAAAAAUUAAUAUUUGUUAAUUUUACUGACAUGGCAUGCACGUAGAUUGUCAUGUUAGCAAUUAAUUAUUUUUUUAAAUAUAAAAAAUUUAAAAAAGUAUAAAAAUUAUUUAAAAAUGAAAAAAAGUAUAAAAAUUAUAAAUAAAUUUUAAUAUUUUUCAAAUUUUAAAAAAUUAAUUAAUUGUUGAUGUGGCAUACAUGUGGACUUCCACGUGGAUAUCAUGUCAGCAAAGUUAACAAACUUUAUGUUUUCCAUCCAUUUUGUUGUGAUUUGAUAAACAAGAGCAAAUUCAAAGGCUAAAAGAGAUGAAAAAUUAAAUGGAGGCUAAAAUAAUUUUUUUUGUAAAGUUGAAGGACCAAAUAAGUCAUUAUGCCUAAUAUUUAUGCCUCAUUUAGCUAGCAUUUAACUUGAUUCUUAAGUGGUUUUCUACUAAUU
Molecule: long non-coding RNA, 781 nt
Filed under: Gossypium raimondii (Peruvian cotton)
Lineage: Eukaryota; Viridiplantae; Streptophyta; Magnoliopsida; Malvales; Malvaceae
Description: long non-coding RNA (GRAI_LNC004911)
Source: RNAcentral